RNAcentral lists this ribosomal RNA (2959 nucleotides) under Candidatus Heimdallarchaeota archaeon. RNAcentral's name for it is "23S ribosomal RNA". It matches the Rfam family "Archaeal large subunit ribosomal RNA". The record is from RNAcentral. Lineage: Archaea; Promethearchaeati; Candidatus Heimdallarchaeota.
GGAUGGAUAGGCUCAGGUGCCGAUGAAGGUCGUGGCAAGCUGCGAUAAGCGCGGGGAAGCCGCACGCAGGCGUAGAUCCCGUGAUAACCGAAUAGGACCUCCACAUGCGUACCAAUAAGACGCAUGACUCCGUAAGGAGGGGGCACGCGCCGGACGGAAACAUCCAAGUAGGCGUAGGAAAAGAAAUCAACUGAGAUUCCCUUACUGUAACGGCGAGUAAACAGGGAAAAGACCAAACUGAAUCCUCUCGUGCAAACAAGAGGAGAUGUGGUGUAAGGACGCUCAAUAAAUUCUGCGAUGGGAAGCCAAAGUUCCUGGAAAGUUGCGCCAAAGAGGGUGAUAGCCCCGUAGGCAAAAACAUCCCAGAAGGAGAGCAGUUCCCGAAUAGUGGGGGUUGGAAAUCCCUCAUGAACCUGGGGCACAACGAGCUCCAAGUCUAAAUACAACCUGAGACCGAUAGCGCAAUAGUAACGUGAGUGAAAGCUGAAAAGUAACCCGCAAGGGUAGUGAAAAGUGCCUGAAAUGAGAUGGUUAUAGACGUUUGUGGUCCGAAAGCUAAGAGUCUCCUCGAAGGAAAUGCCGGCGACGGAAAAGUACGAGAGGAGAGGAGCGGGAUCACAAAAUCCGUCUUGAAACACGGGCCAGGGAGUUUGCUGUCGUGGCAAGCUUAAAGAGGUAAAAAAUCUGGAAGCAAAGAGAAAUCGACAAGGCCGCAGCUACGGCAAGGGCCGGCGUCUGAAAGGGCGCGGAGUCACGGCAGUAAGACCCGAAAUUGGACGAUCUACUCCUGAGCAGGCUGAAGCCCGGGGAAACUCGGGUGGAGGGCCGAACAAGUUCUGACGUGCAAUUCGAUUUGUUGACUUGGGAGUAGGGGCAAAAGACCAAUCUAGUCCAAUGAUAGCUGGUUCCCAACGAAGUGGAGCCUCAGGCCAGCCUGAUUGGAGGGCGCAUGUUAGGUAAAGCAAGGAUUGAUGGUACCGGGGGGUAAAAGCCUCGCCCGUCUGUCAAACUAUGAAUUAACAUGUCCCGAAGAAGAUCAGAGUCGGGCGUGCGUGGGUAAGCCACGUGGCCGAAAGGGGAAUAACCCAGACUAAGGUUAAGGACCCCAAAUCUCGAUUAAAUGUUAAAAUCGGAAUAGCGUCCUUAGACAAAGACAGUAAGGCGGUAAGCCUAGAAACAGCUAACCGCUAAGAAGUACGUAACAGUUUACUUACCGAGUCUUUGGGCCUAGAGAAUGGACGGGGCUAAAUCGAGUUCCGAGACCUUAGGGCACAUCCUGGUGAGGAUGUGAUCCGGUAGUUGGGCAACCCGGUCGGGCGGAAGCAGGGUAGAAGUGUCCUGUGGACCGGUCGGGUUAGAAGAUCCUGGCGGUAGUAGCAGCAAAGAGAGGUGAGAAUCCUCUCCGCCGAAAGGGCAAGGGUUUCACGGCAACGUUCGUCAGCCGUGAGUCAGUCGAUCCUAAGGGCACUCUUAACUGACGUGCUCGAAAGGGAAACAGGUUUAUAUUCCUGUACCGCGUAGAUACUCAAGAAGCGGUAACGCGAAGGAAAGUUUUUGACGCGUCUGGUAAAGCUCUGUAAGGCAAUCGCCUUAUUUAACUGUAUAAGCCUGGGAAGUACCGUGAUGGUGAGAACCAGGUAAAAAUAGGAAUAGGCUACCAAUAGUGGUGGCUAGGGCUGCAACCACAUGCCCAUGAAAAGAAAACGAUCAAGAAUUCUACGCGAUCGUACCCAGAACUGACACAGGUGUCCCAAGGUUAGAAGCCUAAGGCGUGUUCGGUAAAAGAUGGUGAGGGAAAUCGGCAAAUUCGCCCUGUACCUUCGGAAGAAAGGGUGCCUGUGGUCCUGAAAGGGAUCGCAGGUCGCAGUGACUAGGGAGAAGCAACUGUUUAAUUAAAACAUAGCAAACCGCAAGGGGGAAACCCUGUGAACGGUUUGUGAAUCCUGCUCAAUGCUGGUAAGUCAAUACGGAGUACAACCCGGAUAAGCUCCAGUGAAUAGCGGGAGUAACUAUGACUCUCUUAAGGUAGCCAAAUGCCUUGUCGGAUAAGUACCGACGUGCAUGAACGGAUCAAUGACUUCUCCACUGUCCCCACCGUCUAUCGAGUGAACCCACUAUCCAGCGAACAGUCUGGAAUCAACCAGGGGGAAGAGAAGACCCCGUGGAGUUUUACUGCAGCCUGCGCCUGUUUUACGGGGCGUGGUACAUAGCGUAGUCAGGAGCUCUGAACCCAGUUCUCCGGGACUGGGGAAUGCAACCAUGAAACACUGACUACCACGUCCGGUAAGACUUACUCCCCUUAGGGGGAGGACAAGUGUUGGUGGGCAGUUUUGCUGGGGCGGCAGGCUUUGAAAAGAUAUCGAAGCUGCCCAAAGGUCAGCUCAAGCGGGACAGGAACCCGCAUUAGAGUGCAAGAAUAAAAGCUGGCUUGAUAGGAAGCCUAACAAUGGGGCUUCCUGGAACGAAAGUUUGGUCUAGCGAUCUAUCAGAUGCUCUUGUUGAGCGCUGGUAGCGGCAGAAAAAUUACCCCGGGGGUAACAGAGUCGUCGCAGGCGAGAGCUCACACUCUUCCAAUUCUUUGUUAUCCGCUAAUAUUUAUAGAAAGAUCUAGGCUCACAAGUAACUGGAGGAGGAGUAUAUCGACCCUGCGGCUUGCUACCUCGAUGUCGGCUCUUCCUCUCCUGGCGGUGCACAAGCCGCCAAGGGUAGGGUUGUUCGCCCAUUAAAAGGGAACGUGAGCUGGGUUUAGACCGUCGUGAGACAGGUCGGAUUCUUUCUACUGGUUGUGCUGGGAAAUUGAGGGCAGGGCCGGGUCGGUACGAGAGGACCCCCCCGUCGGCGCCAAUAGUCUACCGGUUGUCUGACAAGGCAUCGCCGGGCAGCCACGCGCCAAUCGAUAACAGCUGAAAGCAUCUAAGCUGGAAGCGAAUCCCAAAACGAAUUUCCCACUCUGGCAAUC